CCUACGGGUGGCAGCAGUGAGGAAUAUUGGUCAAUGGACGAGAGUCUGAACCAGCCAAGUAGCGUGAAGGAUGACGGCCCUAUGGGUUGUAAACUGCUUUUAUAGGGGAAUAAAAUGUAACACGUGUGGGAUUUUGUAUGUACCAUAUGAAUAAGGAUCGGCUAACUCCGUGCCAGCAGCCGCGGUAAUACGGAGGAUCCGAGCGUUAUCCGGAUUUAUUGGGGUUAAAGGGAGCGUAGGUGGCUUGUUAAGUCAGUGGUGAAAGUUUGCGGCUCAACCGUAAAAUUGCCGUUGAAACUGGCAGUCUUGCGUACAGUAGCGGUGGGCGGACUUCGUGUUGUAGCGG
Molecule: ribosomal RNA, 346 nt
Filed under: uncultured bacterium
Lineage: Bacteria
Description: partial 16S ribosomal RNA
Rfam family: Bacterial small subunit ribosomal RNA
Source: RNAcentral